AACACCGAAGUUAAGCAUCGUAGAGCCAGGUCAGUACUUAGAUGGGGGACCGCUUGGGAACACCUGGUACUGUAAG
This 76-nucleotide ribosomal RNA is filed under the name Acanthosepion pharaonis. The record is from RNAcentral. Lineage: Eukaryota; Metazoa; Mollusca; Cephalopoda; Sepiida; Sepiidae.